RNAcentral lists this ribosomal RNA (731 nucleotides) under uncultured eukaryote. RNAcentral describes it as "SSU rRNA". It matches the Rfam family "Eukaryotic small subunit ribosomal RNA", at positions 671 to 1426 of the family's 1831-position model. The record is from RNAcentral.
GGUGUGUACUGGUCUUGAUGGAAGCUUACCUCUUGGUGGGUCGGCAUGCCCUUCGUUGGGUGUGUCGAUUAACCAGGACUUUUACUUUGAGAAAAUUAGAGUGUUCAAAGCAGGCUUUCGCCCGAAUACAUUAGCAUGGAAUAAUAGAAUAGGACGCGCGUCUUUAUUUUGUUGGUUUCUAAAUUCGCCGUAAUGAUUAAUAGGGAUAGUCGGGGGCAUUCGUAUUGCUUGGUCAGAGGUGAAAUUCUUGGAUUCUAGCAAGACGAACUACUGCGAAAGCAUUUGCCAAGGAUGUUUUCAUUGAUCAAGAACGAAGGUUAGGGGAUCGAAAACGAUCAGAUACCGUUGUAGUCUUAACAGUAAACUAUGCCGACUAGGGAUCGGACAAGCACAAUCUAUGACUUGUUCGGCACCUGAAGAGAAAUCUUUAAGUCUAGGUUCGGGGGGGAGUAUGGUCGCAAGGCUGAAGCUUAAAGGAAUUGACGGAAGGGCACCACCAGGUGUGGAGCCUGCGGCUUAAUUUGACUCAACACGGGGAAACUCACCAGGUCCAGACACAAUAAGGAUUGACAGAUUGAUAGCUCUUUCUUGAUCUUGUGGUUGGUGGUGCAUGGCCGUUCUUAGUUGGUGGAGUGAUUUGUCUGGUUAAUUCCGAUAACGAACGAGACCUUAACCUGCUAAAUAGACCCGGGGCCUUAGGGAACCGGCUGUCUUCUUAGAGGGACUGUAGG